This 303-nucleotide ribosomal RNA is filed under the name uncultured bacterium. RNAcentral's name for it is "partial 16S ribosomal RNA". It matches the Rfam family "Bacterial small subunit ribosomal RNA", at positions 507 to 809 of the family's 1533-position model. The record is from RNAcentral.
AGCAGCAGCCGCGGUAAUACGUAGGGUGCAAGCGUUAAUCGGAAUUACUGGGCGUAAAGCGUGCGCAGGCGGUUUGUUAAGACAGAUGUGAAAUCCCCGGGCUCAACCUGGGAACUGCAUUUGUGACUGGCAAGCUAGAGUCUGGCAGAGGGGGGUGGAAUUCCGCGUGUAGCAGUGAAAUGCGUAGAUAUGCGGAGGAACACCGAUGGCGAAGGCAGCCCCCUGGGCCAACACUGACGCUCAUGCACGAAAGCGUGGGGAGCAAACAGGAUUAGAUACCCCUGUAGUCCCUGUCUCUUAUAA